AAGUCGUAACAAGGUAACCGUAGGUGAACCUGCGGUUGGAUCAUUAGAAAAACUUCGGAGCAGAACUUGGCGAGCAUGAAUGUCAUUGCUACUUGCGAGCCUUGUUUUCACGAACCCUGUGUGAACCGUAAUAUUUAUUCCAUCCACGUAAUAAGAAUUUUCUGGUCUAAAGUCUUCUUCAUAUCACAAAGAAUAUGAUAAAAACAACUUUUGGCAACGGAUCUCUUGGCUCUC
RNAcentral lists this unclassified non-coding RNA (234 nucleotides) under fungal sp. Its description in RNAcentral is "partial internal transcribed spacer region". The stretch from base 1 to 46 matches the Rfam family "Eukaryotic small subunit ribosomal RNA", at positions 1786 to 1831 of the family's 1831-position model. Lineage: Eukaryota; Fungi. The record is from RNAcentral.